Molecule: long non-coding RNA, 492 nt
Organism: Oncorhynchus tshawytscha (Chinook salmon)
Lineage: Eukaryota; Metazoa; Chordata; Actinopteri; Salmoniformes; Salmonidae
Source: Ensembl
AUGUACAGGGGGAAGGAGACAGGGAUACUGGAGUGAUGGAGGAAGAUAUGUAGAGGGGUAAGGUGACUAUAUACAGGGUCAUACCAUAUUAACAAUGUACAGGGAUACUGGAGUGAUGGAGGUAGAUAUGUACAGGGGUAAGGUGACAGGGAUACUGGAGUGAUGGAGGUAGAUAUGUAUAAGGGGUCAGGUGACUAUAUACAGGGUCAGUACCAUAUUAACAAUGUACAGGGAUACUGGAGUGAUGGAGGUAGAUAUGGAUAGGGGUAAGGUGACUAUAUACAGGGUCAGUACCAUAUUAACAAUGUACAGGGAUACUGGAGUGAUGGAGGUAGAUAUGUAUAGGGGGAAGGAGACAGGGAUACUGGAGUGAUGCAGGUAGAUAUGUAUCAGGGUAAGGUGACAGGGAUACUGGAGUGAUGGAGGUAGAUAUGUAUAGGGGUAAGGUGACAGGGAUACUGGAGUGAUGGAGGUAGAUAUGUAUAGGGGGGU